This 171-nucleotide ribosomal RNA is filed under the name Solanum kurzii. RNAcentral's name for it is "5.8S ribosomal RNA". It matches the Rfam family "5.8S ribosomal RNA". From Rfam's summary of the family: 5.8S ribosomal RNA (5.8S rRNA) is a component of the large subunit of the eukaryotic ribosome. Lineage: Eukaryota; Viridiplantae; Streptophyta; Magnoliopsida; Solanales; Solanaceae. The record is from RNAcentral.
AACCAAAACAACUCUCGGCAAUUGAUAUCUCGACUCUUGCAUCGAUGAAGAACAUAGAAAAAUGUGAUACUUGGUAUGAAUUGUAGAAUCCCAUGAACCAUCGAGUCUCUGAACAUAAGUUGCACCCAAAGCCAUCAGGCCAAGGGUAUGUCUGCCUCCGGAUCACGCAUC